This is a long non-coding RNA of Empidonax traillii (willow flycatcher), 663 nucleotides long. RefSeq lists it as uncharacterized. The transcript is spliced from 4 exons. Lineage: Eukaryota; Metazoa; Chordata; Aves; Passeriformes; Tyrannidae. The record is from RefSeq and is a predicted model, not a curated record.
GGCCGUGUCCCCGUCCCAAAAAUGCCUCCUCGGCAGGAGCUGGCUGUACUUGUCAAGAGACCGGAAGCAGGAUUAUGCUGUGCUGGGAUGUGGAGAUCAUAAAAACGGGAUAACUGCACAGUUCCACCAGCACUCAGUCUCUGCCAGGAGCUGGAGUCAAUUUCCCACUCUUAACCCUUGCAGGCAGUGCUGUUUUCUCCUGAAACCCUACAUGAUCACCACAGCACCCUCAGUGGGGACCACCAUGGUGCUGUGGGGAAGAGGGAAGUGUCAGGCAGCUGAGAUGGCUCUGCUGCUUCUCCUACCACAGUCUUUCAGGGUGGUCAGAACCUGAAUUCCUCAUGCAAAAGAAGCAGCAGGGGAAGAGGAAACUGCAAGCAAGGACCUUUCCUACCUCAGGGAGCUGUCACAAGGACUUAGCAGGCCUCCAAGCAUGGUUUCUUGCUCUGCAGUCUCUCAGCCCAAGCCUCCUGGGUAACUACCCCUCACUCCCCUCUCACCAGUGAACACCCUCCCAGCCUGUGCUUCCCACUUAUGCUCUAGCAGCUCCAUCUGGCUCCUUGGCCCCUCUGAUUUACAGAUUUGUUGUUGCACUUCAGCUUUGGAGUGAUCAGGAGAGGCGGAGCUCGUCCAGCAUCACAGAGCUGUGGGGAUGGCACCGGG